Cavia porcellus (domestic guinea pig) is the source of this 493-nucleotide long non-coding RNA. RefSeq lists it as uncharacterized. Lineage: Eukaryota; Metazoa; Chordata; Mammalia; Rodentia; Caviidae. The record is from RefSeq and is a predicted model, not a curated record. The transcript has 3 exons.
ACCUAAAUGAACCAGGAGGGGUUCACCUGCAGGGCUCCACCAAAGAAGGCAGUCCUGCCAAGAGCCUGACUUCAGCCUGGACUCGGGCAGGGCAGACAGCCCAGCCAAGCCUCCCACACUCCCACCCCGCAGAAGCACAAGAACACUUUCAAGUCCAUCUGCAGUACCAGGGAGUGCUCUGCUCUUUUCAUGCCUGAAUACCAUUCCACUCUACCGAAGGCCAACACCUUAGUCAACUUCUCAUCAGCUGGUACUUGCAAGUUGUUUCUGUUUUGUGGCUGUUCUGAACAUUGCUUGAUCUUUUAAACCGUUUUCCGCCAGGAGUAUACACCUAAACAUGACGUGGUUAUGGAAGAAAGUGGACAGCUAACACAGGGACAAAGCGAUGUCCCUCAAGAACUAGAAACUACCACUGACAAUAAACAGUGCUUCUUCACUUUUUGUCUCGGGGUUUUUGGUGCUAAGACUGAAUCCAAAGCCUCAUAUACGCUAA